GACGAACGCUGGCGGCGUGCUUAACACAUUCAAGUCGAGCGGUAAGGCCCUUUCGGGGGUACGACGAGCGGCGAACGGGUGAGUAACACGUGGGUGACCUGCCCUCAGCUCUGGGAUAAGCCUGGGAAACCGGGUCUAAUACCGGAUAUGACUCCAUGACGCAUGUUGUGGGGUGGAAAGCCUUGUGCGGCUGAGGAUGGGCCCGCGGCCUAUCAGCUUGUUGGUGGGGUGAUGGCCACCAAGGCGACGACGGGUAGCCGGCCUGAGAGGGCGACCGGCCACACUGGGACUGAGACACGGCCCAGACUCCUACGGGAGGCAGCAGUGGGGAAUCUUGCGCAAUGGGCGAAAGCCUGACGCAGCGACGCCGCGUGAGGGAUGACGGCCU
Molecule: ribosomal RNA, 388 nt
Filed under: uncultured bacterium
Lineage: Bacteria
Description: bacterial SSU rRNA
Rfam family: Bacterial small subunit ribosomal RNA
Source: RNAcentral